AGUGAACGCUGGCGGUAGGCCUAACACAUGCAAGUCGAACGGCAGCACAGUAAGAGCUUGCUCUUACGGGUGGCGAGUGGCGGACGGGUGAGGUAUACAUCGGAAUCUACUUUUUCGUGGGGGAUAACGUAGGGAAACUUACGCUAAUACCGCAUACGACCUACGGGUGAAAGCAGGGGGUCUUCGGACCUUGCGCGAUUGAAUGAGCCGAUGUCGGAUUAGCUAGUUGGCGGGGUAAAGGCCCACCAAGGCGACGAUCCGUAGCUGGUCUGAGAGGAUGAUCAGCCACACUGGAACUGAGACACGGUCCAGACUCCUACGGGAGGCAGCAGUGGGGAAUAUUGGACAAUGGGCGCAAGCCUGAUCCAGCCAUACCGCGUGGGUGAAGAAGGCCUUCGGGUUGUAAAGCCCUUUUGUUGGGAAAGAAAAGCAGCAGGUUAAUACCCCGCUGUUCUGACGGUACCCAAAGAAUAAGCACCGGCUAACUUCGUG
Molecule: ribosomal RNA, 492 nt
Filed under: uncultured bacterium
Lineage: Bacteria
Description: partial 16S ribosomal RNA
Rfam family: Bacterial small subunit ribosomal RNA
Source: RNAcentral